Molecule: ribosomal RNA, 758 nt
Filed under: Klebsiella pneumoniae
Lineage: Bacteria; Pseudomonadati; Pseudomonadota; Gammaproteobacteria; Enterobacterales; Enterobacteriaceae
Description: bacterial LSU rRNA
Rfam family: Bacterial large subunit ribosomal RNA
Source: RNAcentral
GCCAACCUUGAAAUACCACCCUUUAAUGUUUGAUGUUCUAACGUUGGCCCCUGACCGGGGUUGCGGACAGUGUCUGGUGGGUAGUUUGACUGGGGCGGUCUCCUCCCAAAGCGUAACGGAGGAGCACGAAGGUUAGCUAAUCCUGGUCGGACAUCAGGAGGUUAGUGCAAUGGCAUAAGCUAGCUUGACUGCGAGCGUGACGGCGCGAGCAGGUGCGAAAGCAGGUCAUAGUGAUCCGGUGGUUCUGAAUGGAAGGGCCAUCGCUCAACGGAUAAAAGGUACUCCGGGGAUAACAGGCUGAUACCGCCCAAGAGUUCAUAUCGACGGCGGUGUUUGGCACCUCGAUGUCGGCUCAUCACAUCCUGGGGCUGAAGUAGGUCCCAAGGGUAUGGCUGUUCGCCAUUUAAAGUGGUACGCGAGCUGGGUUUAGAACGUCGUGAGACAGUUCGGUCCCUAUCUGCCGUGGGCGCUGGAGAAUUGAGGGGGGCUGCUCCUAGUACGAGAGGACCGGAGUGGACGCAUCACUGGUGUUCGGGUUGUCAUGCCAAUGGCACUGCCCGGUAGCUAAAUGCGGAAGAGAUAAGUGCUGAAAGCAUCUAAGCACGAAACUUGCCCCGAGAUGAGUUCUCCCUGAGACUUUAAGUCUCCUGAAGGAACGUUAAAGACGAUGACGUUGAUAGGCCGGGUGUGUAAGCGCAGCGAUGCGUUGAGCUAACCGGUACUAAUGAACCGUGAGGCUUAACCUUACAACGCCGAAG